Molecule: ribosomal RNA, 433 nt
Filed under: uncultured bacterium
Lineage: Bacteria
Description: partial 16S ribosomal RNA
Rfam family: Bacterial small subunit ribosomal RNA
Source: RNAcentral
AACGAACGCUGGCGGCAUGCCUAACACGUGCAAGUCGAACGAGACCUUCGGGUCUAGUGGCGCACGGGUGCGUAACGCGUGGGAACCUGCCCUUAGGUUCGGAAUAACUCCCCGAAAGGGGUGCUAAUACCGGAUAAUGUCCUCGGACAAAAGAUUUAUCGCCUUUGGAUGGGCCCGCGUUGGAUUAGCUUGUUGGUAGGGUAAAAGCCUACCAAGGCGACGAUCCAUAGCUGGUCUGAGAGGAUGAGCAGCCACACUGGGACUGAGACACGGCCCAGACUCCUACGGGAGGCGGCAGUGGGGAAUAUUGGACAAUGGGCGAAAGCCUGAUCCAGCAAGGCCGCGUGAGUGAUGAAGGCCUUAGAGUUGUAAAGCUCUUUUACCCGGGAUGAUAAUGACAGUACCGGGAGAAUAAGCACCGGCUAACUCCGUG